GACGAACGCUGGCGGCGUGCCUAAUACAUGCAAGUAGAACGCACAGUUUAUACCGUAGCUUGCUACACCAUAGACUGUGAGUUGCGAACGGGUGAGUAACGCGUAGGUAACCUGCCUGGUAGCGGGGGAUAACUAUUGGAAACGAUAGCUAAUACCGCAUAAUAUUAAUUAUUGCAUGAUAAUUAAUUGAAAGGUGCAAUUGCACCACUACCAGAUGGACCUGCGUUGUAUUAGCUAGUAGGUGAGGUAACGGCUCACCUAGGCGACGAUACAUAGCCGACCUGAGAGGGUGAUCGGCCACACUGGGACUGAGACACGGCCCAGACUCCUACGGGAGGCAGCAGUAGGGAAUCUUCGGCAAUGGACGAAAGUCUGACCGAGCAAAGCCGCGUGAGUGAAGAAGGUUUUCGGAUCGUAAAGCUCUGUUGUAAGAGAAGAACGGGUGUGAGAGUGGAAAGUUCACACUGUGACGGUAUCUUACCAGAAAGGGACGGCUAACUACGUG
This 505-nucleotide ribosomal RNA is filed under the name uncultured bacterium. RNAcentral describes it as "partial 16S ribosomal RNA". It matches the Rfam family "Bacterial small subunit ribosomal RNA", at positions 28 to 507 of the family's 1533-position model. The record is from RNAcentral.